Molecule: unclassified non-coding RNA, 257 nt
Filed under: Hevea brasiliensis (rubber tree)
Lineage: Eukaryota; Viridiplantae; Streptophyta; Magnoliopsida; Malpighiales; Euphorbiaceae
Source: RNAcentral
UGAAAGAAGAUAAUGGCCAAAAACAUCUGGGAUAACUGUCUACAGGCCGUGUAACUGAAGAUCUCUGUCAUUUCUGACAAAAUAAGUGAGUCAAUUUCAGUCUCUGAUGUACUGGAACAGAUCUGCCAUAUGCUACCUUAGUGAAUGAAAACAGUUAAAAUACUUCAUGUAAGCAACUUCAGACCUCAAGAGGAAGACGGCGACACAGAGAGGAAAGGAGGGAGAGUAGCCCCAAGAUGGGUUCCUCUUUAUUCACG